This 502-nucleotide ribosomal RNA is filed under the name uncultured bacterium. Its description in RNAcentral is "bacterial SSU rRNA". It matches the Rfam family "Bacterial small subunit ribosomal RNA", at positions 8 to 518 of the family's 1533-position model. The record is from RNAcentral.
AGAGUUUGAUCCUGGCUCAGGAUGAACGCUGGCGGCGUGCUUAACACAUGCAAGUCGAGCGAAGCACUUCGAUUUUUCGGAAUGAAGAGUGACUGAGCGGCGGACGGGUGAGUAACGCGUGGGUAACCUGCCCCAUACCGGGGGAUAACAGUUGGAAACGGCUGCUAAUACCGCAUAAGCGCACAAGGAGGCAUCUCCUGGUGUGAAAAAACUCCGGUGGUAUGGGAUGGACCCGCGUUGGAUUAGCCAGUUGGUGGGGUAACGGCCUACCAAAGCGACGAUCCAUAGCCGGCCUGAGAGGGCGACCGGCCACAUUGGGACUGAGACACGGCCCAAACUCCUACGGGAGGCAGCAGUGGGGAAUAUUGCACAAUGGGGGAAACCCUGAUGCAGCGACGCCGCGUGAGUGAUGAAGUAUUUCGGUAUGUAAAGCUCUAUCAGCAGGGAAGAAGACGACGGUACCUGACUAAGAAGCCCCGGCUAACUACGUGCCAGCCGCCGC